RNAcentral lists this ribosomal RNA (536 nucleotides) under uncultured bacterium. Its description in RNAcentral is "bacterial SSU rRNA". It matches the Rfam family "Bacterial small subunit ribosomal RNA", at positions 1 to 531 of the family's 1533-position model. The record is from RNAcentral.
GCCCUUAGAGUUUGAUCCUGGCUCAGGAUGAACGCUAGCGGCAGGCUUAACACAUGCAAGUCGAGGGGUAACAGGGAUUGCUUGCAAUCCGCUGACGACCGGCGCACGGGUGCGUAACGCGUAUGCAACCUACCUUCUACAGGGGGAUAGUCAAUAGAAAUGCUGAAUAAUACCCCAUACGAUCUUUGAAUAGCAUUAUUUAAAGAAGAAAGUUCCGGCGGUAGAAGAUGGGCAUGCGUCCUAUUAGUUAGUUGGAGAGGUAACGGCUCCCCAAGACAUCGAUAGGUAGGGGUCCUGAGAGGGAGACCCCCCACACUGGUACUGAGACACGGACCAGACUCCUACGGGAGGCAGCAGUGAGGAAUAUUGGACAAUGGAGGCAACUCUGAUCCAGCCAUGCCGCGUGCAGGAAGACUGCCCUAUGGGUUGUAAACUGCUUUUAUACAGGAAGAAAUGUACCUACGUGUAGGUAUUUGACGGUACUGUACGAAUAAGGAUCGGCUAACUCCGUGCCAGCAGCCGCGGUAAUAAGGGCG